This 209-nucleotide unclassified non-coding RNA is filed under the name Hevea brasiliensis (rubber tree). Lineage: Eukaryota; Viridiplantae; Streptophyta; Magnoliopsida; Malpighiales; Euphorbiaceae. The record is from RNAcentral.
GCGGAUGCUGGCCCACUCCUCGGGCAUCAUCGGUCUGCCGCUGCGUCUCCUGGCGCGCGAGGUCUACAACAAGAUCGCCGCGCGGGCCGGAGCGGGCGCGGUCGCGCUCAUCACCGGCGAAGAAAAGAUCAAGCCGCCUCAUGCGCGCUAUUGGGUCUCCACCGUCGAGGCGAUGCCCCGCGAUCUCGAUGUGUCGUUUCUGGCCGUCG